This 382-nucleotide ribosomal RNA is filed under the name uncultured eukaryote. Its description in RNAcentral is "partial 18S ribosomal RNA". It matches the Rfam family "Eukaryotic small subunit ribosomal RNA", at positions 592 to 976 of the family's 1831-position model. The record is from RNAcentral.
UGUAAGCGUAUACCAAAGUUGUUGCAGUUAGAACGCUCGUAGUCGGAAUUUGGCAGUUCCAGAUGUGUGCACGUCGUGUGCGCACUUCGCGGGGAUUGCUUUUGUGGUCUUGCGUAGGAUGAGGCACUUUUAUUAGUGAACGUCCUCACGCAACCACUUUUUACAGUGAGAAAAUCAGAGUGCUCAAAGCAGGCAUUUGCCGUGAAUGUAUUAGCAUGGAAUAAUAGAAUAGGACUUGGUUCUAUUUUGUUGGUUUGUUGGGACUGAGUAAUGAUUAAGAGGGACAGUUGGGGGCAUUUGUAUUUCGGUGCUAGAGGUGAAAUUCUUAGAUUACCGAAAGACAAACUGCUGCGAAAGCGUCUGCCAAGGAUGUUUUCAUUGA